AUCCAUCGAGCAAGAUGGCAUCUUGAGGAAGAGACGACCCUCAAGUGUCUUUGUACAUAUUUAUGUGUUUAUGCGCUAUACAAAAGAACGAAGCGAUGAAAAUGGACGUUGAAUUUUAUCGUGACUUCCCAGGACGAGAGAAAGACGGCGUCUGUUAAAUAUUAUUGAGCGAAUUAUGUUAUAAAUCAACCUUGGAAGCGGAACAAUUUCUGACUUCCCUGGAAUAAGAUGACCUGCCGAUUCCUCAAGACUCCUGUGGUAACUAUAUUCCACUCAAAAUUAAAAGCACCCAUGACGAGGUGGGCGUCCUCCCUGGAGAGGGUCAUAUUUUCGGCGAUGAAGAAGUUGCCAAAAUUCGAAUGAACGUAUCCGAUGCUUGGCUGGCCAGCCCAGGUGAGAGUUGCACUGG
Macrobrachium nipponense is the source of this 409-nucleotide long non-coding RNA. RefSeq lists it as uncharacterized. The transcript has 3 exons. The record is from RefSeq and is a predicted model, not a curated record. Lineage: Eukaryota; Metazoa; Arthropoda; Malacostraca; Decapoda; Palaemonidae.